GGGAUUGAUUGAAAUACCCAAUCUUUCUGAGGAAAAUGAAGUAGAUGACACUGAGGUCAACGUUGAGUAAAAAGAAAGGAGAUGGGGUUAUACUGAAGGAUCUUAUGAAAACUGCAGGCACUGCCAAGGUCAGGGAGGCCCUUGGAGAUUACCUGAAGGCACUUAAGACGGAAUUUACAACGGGAAUGAUUUUACCAACGAAAGCUAUGGCAACCCAGGAAUUGACUGUCAAAAGAAAACUGAGUGGGAAUACCCUGCAGGUUCAGGCCUCAUCUCCAGUGGCACUGGGUGUAAGGAUUCCCACUGUGGCUCUUCACAUGAUGGAACUGUUUGACACAACUGUAGAGCAGCUGUAUAGCAUCUUCACUGUAAAGGAGGUAAGUAACUCCCUAAGCUAGCAUGUUAAGUGCUGACAUUGGGAGAAAAUACAUUACAAAGAACAGGAGCUGGUUUUUGGUUUUCCUUGUGGCUGUGUUUUUGAUUGAAGGGAUGUGGGAUGGUGGUG
This 505-nucleotide long non-coding RNA is filed under the name Homo sapiens (human). Its description in RNAcentral is "non-protein coding lnc-C2orf74-1:3". Lineage: Eukaryota; Metazoa; Chordata; Mammalia; Primates; Hominidae. The record is from RNAcentral.